AUAAGUAUCCAAGGGCACACGGUGGAUGCCUUGGCAUAGUCAGGCGAAGAAGGACGCGAUAACCUGCGAAAAGCGUCGGGGAGGUGGAAAUAACCUUUGAUCCGGCGAUAUCCGAAUGGGGCAACCCGUUGAGAGUCAUGUCUCAACAUCGAAAGAAGCCAACCCGGAGAAUUGAAACAUCUUAGUAACCGGAGGAAAAGACAUCAAAUGAGAUUCCCUAAGUAGUGGCGAGCGAACAGGGAGGAGCCUAAACCGAGAGCUACGGCAAUCGGGGUUGUAGGACUACAGACGUUAGCAUAGACGGUAGCAGAAACACGUGGGAAAGUGUACCAUAGGAGGUGAGAGUCCUGUAAGCGAAACCGAACAUGCGGCAGUAGAAUCCUGAGUAGAGCGGGACACGAGAAAUCCUGCUUGAAUCCGGGGGGACCCCCCUCCAAGGCUAAAUACUCGACUAUGACCGAUAGUGAACCAGUACCGUGAGGGAAAGGUGAAAAGCACCCUUUGGAAGGGAGUGAAAUAGAACCUGAAACCGUGUGCUUACAAACGGUGGGAGGAAGAUAUAGCAAUAUAUGGACUGACCGCGUGCCUUUUGCAUAAUGAGCCAACGAGUUACUCGUCACAUGCAAGGGUAAGUAUCUCAGAUACGAACCCGUAGCGAAAGCGAGUCUGAAUAGGGCGCAUAGUAUGUGGCGGUAGACGCGAAGCCGUGUGAUCUAUCUAUGGCCAGGAUGAAGCGGGGGUAACACCUCGUGGAGGUCCGAACCGGUGUGGGUUGAAAACCGCUCGGAUGAGCUGUGGAUAGGGGUGAAAGGCCAAUCAAACUCGGCAAUAGCUCGUACUCCCCGAAAUGUUUUUAGGAACAGCCUUGAAGGAAGUCUGUCGGAGGUAAGGCUCUGAUAGGGCUAGGGCCGUUACAGCGGUACCAAACCCUGAUAAACUGUAAAUGCCGAUACGAUAUCUUCAGGAGUGAGGCGGCGAGGGAUAAGCUUCGUCACCGAGAGGGAAAGAACCCAGAUCAUCAGCUAAGGUCCCCAAAUCAAUGCUAACAGACAAAGGAGGUGCGGUUGCAGCGACAACCAGGAUGUUGGCUUAGAAGCAGCCAUUCAUUUAAAGAGUGCGUAAUAGCUCACUGGUCAAGCGACCGUGCGCCGAAAAUACCCGGGACUAAAAGCAUUGUACCGAAGCUAUGGAUUUCUACUUUAGGAGUAGAAGUGGUAGGGGAGCAUUCUGUAUGCAGUGAAGGUGUACUGUGAGGUAUGCUGGAGCGUACAGAAAAGCAAAUGUUGGCAUAAGUAGCGACAAAACAAGUGAGAAUCUUGUUCGCCGUAAGCCCAAGGUUUUCUGAGCUACGUUCAUCGACUCAGAGUUAGCCGGACCCUAAGCCGAGGCCGAAAGGUGUAGGCGAUGGAAAGCAGGUGAAUAUUCCUGCGCCACCAAAAGAGUUAAAUACAGGGACGCAGAAGCGUAAGUGUGCGGAGUUAAUGGUUAUCUCCGUAUGCCGAAGCACGCUGCCAAGAAAAGCUGUAUGUAUUUCUUCGGUGACCGUACCGCAAACCGACACAGGUGGGCGAGUAGAGUAUACUCAGGCGCUCGUGUGAGCCGUGGUUAAGGAACUCGGCAAAUUAGCCCCGUAACUUCGGAAGAAGGGGUGCCAUCGCAAGAUGGCCGCAGUGAAAUGGCCCAAGCAACUGUUUAACAAAAACACAUCUCUCUGCUAACACGUAAAGUGGACGUAUAGGGAGUGACACCUGCCCGGUGCCGGAAGGUUAAGAGGAGAAGUCAGCGCAAGCGAAGCCUUGAAUCGACGCCCCGGUAAACGGCGGCCGUAACUAUAACGGUCCUAAGGUAGCGAAAUUCCUUGUCGGGUAAGUUCCGACCUGCAC
This 1883-nucleotide ribosomal RNA is filed under the name freshwater bacterium LH6-2. Its description in RNAcentral is "bacterial LSU rRNA". It matches the Rfam family "Bacterial large subunit ribosomal RNA", at positions 1 to 1993 of the family's 2925-position model. The record is from RNAcentral.